This 329-nucleotide ribosomal RNA is filed under the name uncultured eukaryote. Its description in RNAcentral is "partial 18S ribosomal RNA". It matches the Rfam family "Eukaryotic small subunit ribosomal RNA", at positions 1470 to 1796 of the family's 1831-position model. The record is from RNAcentral.
CCCUUAGAUGUUCUGGGCCGCACGCGCGCUACACUGAUGCAUUCAACGAGUCUAAAACCUGCUCUGAUAGGGGUGGGUAAUCUUUUGAAUGUGCAUCGUGAUUGGGAUAGAUGAUUGCAAUUUUUCAUCUUCAACGAGGAAUGCCUAGUAAACGCAAGUCAUCAGCUUACAUUGAUUACGUCCCUGCCCUUUGUACACACCGCCCGUCGCUCCUACCGAUUGAAUGAUCCGAUGAAUAUCAUGGAUUGAGGAUGCAAGCAGGUUCGCCUGUCUUCAUCUUCGAGAAGUGAAGUAAAUCUUAUCAUUUAGAGGAAGGAGAAGUCGUAACA